Molecule: ribosomal RNA, 782 nt
Filed under: uncultured bacterium
Lineage: Bacteria
Description: bacterial SSU rRNA
Rfam family: Bacterial small subunit ribosomal RNA
Source: RNAcentral
AAAGGCGAAAGCAAAUUUCUGGGUCGUUUCUGACACUGAGGCACGAAAGCGUGGGGAGCAAAUGGGAUUAGAUACCCCGGUAGUCCACGCCCUAAACAAUGAACACUAGAUGUCGGUUUUUAUCGGUGUCGAAGCUAACGCGUUAAGUGUUCCGUCUGGGAAGUACGAUCGCAAGAUUAAAACUUAAAGGAAUUGACGGGGGCCCGCACAAGCGGUGGAGCAUGUGGUUUAAUUCGAUGAUCCGCGAAAAACCUUACCAACUCUUGACAUGUAGACUGCGUCUUCGUGAGAACGAAGACUUCAUUCAGUUGGGUCUACACAGGUGUUGCAUGGCCGUCGUCAGCUCGUGUCGUGAGAUGUUGGGUUAAGUCCCGCAACGAGCGCGACCCUUGUCGUUAUUUGCCAGCGAGUAAAGUCGGGAACUUUAACGAGACUGCCGGUGAUAAGCCGGAUGAAGGGGAGGAUGACGUCAGGUCCUCAUGGCCUUUAUGAGUUGGGCUACACAUGUGCUACAAUGGUAACAACAACGGGCUGCGACGGAGUGAUCCUAAGCCAAUCCUAAAAAGUUAUCUCAGUUCGGAUUGUUCUCUGCAACUCGAGAACAUGAAGUCGGAAUCGCUAGUAAUCGCAGAUCAGAACGCUGCGGUGAAUAAGUUUACGGGCCUUGUACACACCGCCCGUCAAGCCAUGGGAAUUGAUUUUGCCUGAAAACAAUGAGCGAACCUUCGGGGCGCAGUUGGAUAUGGUUAAAUUGGUGACUGGGGUUAAGUCGUAACAAGGUA